Molecule: long non-coding RNA, 615 nt
Organism: Heterocephalus glaber (naked mole-rat)
Lineage: Eukaryota; Metazoa; Chordata; Mammalia; Rodentia; Bathyergidae
Source: Ensembl
GUUACAUGGUGCUCUGACAAAGAAUGUUCUCAGCUGUGCUGUGGCAUCCUUCUCUUCCCUUGUUAUCCACUCUGACUCUGACUCCCUUCGCUGUUGCCUUCUUUAAGCUUCUGGACUCCACGAAUCCCCACCAAAGUGGCUCCUUAUGACUGCUGCUGCUGCUGCUGCACUGAUAUGGAAAAUUAGAAUUAAAAAAAAAGAGAUGACAGUUCUUUCCCUAUGGCAUUAGCUGGGAGCCAUUAUAUGGGGUUCGGAUCACAUUGUGUGCCCUCCUAGCCAACUGUGUCACCUUAAAGAAGCCACAAUUGCUUUGAGACUCAGAUGCCUGAUCUUUGAAGGGUAUACUGUAUCUUUCUAAGCCUUUGAGACCAGAAAAUAGCAUAAGAAAACAUAAGAAAAUAGCAGAUGUCCAUGUGGGAACCCAGCAGAAUUCUGGUGGUCCGUGCGUCCAGGCCUCGGAAGCAGCAUUGUGGAACGGGAUUUUCAGGAGAAAGGGACAGUGAGAAAGCAAGAAUUAACUGAGAUGGAAGAAAGUGAGAAACAGAAAAUAAAAAGAAUGAAGAGCCUGGUCAAAUGUAGAAAUCAAAAGGAAAGACGGUUUCAUCUACAUGCCAA